RNAcentral lists this ribosomal RNA (254 nucleotides) under uncultured bacterium. Its description in RNAcentral is "partial 16S ribosomal RNA". It matches the Rfam family "Bacterial small subunit ribosomal RNA", at positions 524 to 776 of the family's 1533-position model. The record is from RNAcentral.
UACGGGGGGAGCAAGCGUUGUUCGGAUUUACUGGGCGUAAAGGGCGCGUAGGCGGUCAGUGCAAGUCAGUUGUGAAAUCUCCGGGCUUAACUCGGAAAGGUCAACUGAUACUGCUCGACUAGAGUGCGGAAGGGGCAACUGGAAUUCUUGGUGUAGCAGUGAAAUGCGUAGAUAUCAGGAGGAAUACCGAUGGCGAAGGCAGGUCUCUGGGCUGACACUGACGCUCAUGCACGAAAGCGUGGGGAGCAAACAGG